RNAcentral lists this ribosomal RNA (597 nucleotides) under Staphylococcus aureus. RNAcentral describes it as "bacterial LSU rRNA". It matches the Rfam family "Bacterial large subunit ribosomal RNA", at positions 505 to 1104 of the family's 2925-position model. Lineage: Bacteria; Bacillati; Bacillota; Bacilli; Caryophanales; Staphylococcaceae. The record is from RNAcentral.
GAGGGAAAGGUGAAAAGCACCCCGGAAGGGGAGUGAAAUAGAACCUGAAACCGUGUGCUUACAAGUAGUCAGAGCCCGUUAAUGGGUGAUGGCGUGCCUUUUGUAGAAUGAACCGGCGAGUUACGAUUUGAUGCAAGGUUAAGCAGUAAAUGUGGAGCCGUAGCGAAAGCGAGUCUGAAUAGGGCGUUUAGUAUUUGGUCGUAGACCCGAAACCAGGUGAUCUACCCUUGGUCAGGUUGAAGUUCAGGUAACACUGAAUGGAGGACCGAACCGACUUACGUUGAAAAGUGAGCGGAUGAACUGAGGGUAGCGGAGAAAUUCCAAUCGAACCUGGAGAUAGCUGGUUCUCUCCGAAAUAGCUUUAGGGCUAGCCUCAAGUGAUGAUUAUUGGAGGUAGAGCACUGUUUGGACGAGGGGCCCCUCUCGGGUUACCGAAUUCAGACAAACUCCGAAUGCCAAUUAAUUUAACUUGGGAGUCAGAACAUGGGUGAUAAGGUCCGUGUUCGAAAGGGAAACAGCCCAGACCACCAGCUAAGGUCCCAAAAUAUAUGUUAAGUGGAAAAGGAUGUGGCGUUGCCCAGACAACUAGGAUGUUGG